GACAGAGGGUGCAAACGUUGUUCGGAAUUACUGGGCGUAAAGCGCGUGUAGGCGGCCCUGCAAGUCGGAUGUGAAAUCCCACGGCUCAACCGUGGAAGUGCAUUCGAAACUGCAGGGCUAGAGUCCUGGAGAGGAAGGUGGAAUGCUUGGUGUAGAGGUGGAAUGCGCAGAUAUCAGGAGGAACACCAAUAGCGAAGGCAGCUCGCUGGGACGAUAUUGACGCUAAGGCGCGAAAGCGUGGGGAGCAAACAGG
This 253-nucleotide ribosomal RNA is filed under the name uncultured bacterium. RNAcentral describes it as "partial 16S ribosomal RNA". It matches the Rfam family "Bacterial small subunit ribosomal RNA", at positions 524 to 776 of the family's 1533-position model. The record is from RNAcentral.